CCUGGCUCAGAUUGAACGCUGGCGGCGUGCUUAACACAUGCAAGUCGAACGCGAAAGGGACUUCGGUCCUGAGUAGAGUGGCGCACGGGUGAGUAACGCGUAGAUAAUCUACCUUCUUGUUUGGGAUAACCAGCCGAAAGGCUGGCUAAUACCGGAUACACUUUCGAAGGCGCGAGUUUUCGGGAGGAAAGGUGCCCUCUGAUUCAAGGUGCCGCAGGGAGACGAGUCUGCGUACCAUUAGCUAGUUGGUGGGGUAAUGGCCCACCAAGGCGAUGAUGGUUAGCGGGUCUGAGAGGAUGAUCCGCCACACUGGAACUGGAACACGGACCAGACUCCUACGGGAGGCAGCAGUGAGGAAUUUUGCGCAAUGGGGGAAACCCUGACGCAGCGACGCCGCGUGGGUGAUGAAGGCCUUCGGGUCGUAAAGCCCUGUCGGGUGGGACUAAGUGUCAAUCGGUUAAUACCCGGUUGAUUUGACGGUACCACCAAAGGAAGCACCGGCUAACUCCGUGCCAGCAGCC
This 521-nucleotide ribosomal RNA is filed under the name uncultured delta proteobacterium. Its description in RNAcentral is "bacterial SSU rRNA". It matches the Rfam family "Bacterial small subunit ribosomal RNA", at positions 18 to 516 of the family's 1533-position model. The record is from RNAcentral. Lineage: Bacteria; Deltaproteobacteria.